ACUCUAGAAGAAACCCUGGACCAACAAUGAGAAGAUUCUUUACUUAAAACAUUAAAAACCAAACAAAUCAAAAAGUAAGGCAAAGAAUUUUUGUGGCAAAAACCUAAGAAACCUAACUACAGAGUUAUUUCUUAAGGAACACAAAAUAAGUGUUCCACCGUGGCAAGUUCACAUUUUUCCUUAAAUGAUGUUGCUGUCAAUGAAAAUGGUUGGGGAGAACUGAUAAAACACCAUCAAAACUAAAACUAG
This 249-nucleotide long non-coding RNA is filed under the name Castor canadensis (American beaver). RNAcentral's name for it is "Highly up-regulated in liver cancer conserved region (ENSCCNG00000016885.1)". It matches the Rfam family "Highly up-regulated in liver cancer conserved region". The record is from RNAcentral. Lineage: Eukaryota; Metazoa; Chordata; Mammalia; Rodentia; Castoridae.